CCUACGGGAGGCAGCAGUAGGGAAUAUUGCUCAAUGGGGGAAAGCCUGAAGCAGCAACGCCGCGUGGAGGAUGAAGGUUUUCGGAUUGUAAACUCCUUUUGUUAGAGAAGAUAAUGACGGUAUCUAACGAAUAAGCACCGGCUAACUCCGUGCCAGCAGCCGCGGUAAUACGGAGGGUGCAAGCGUUACUCGGAAUCACUGGGCGUAAAGAGCGCGUAGGCGGGAUAGCAAGUCAGAUGUGAAAUCCUAUGGCUUAACCAUAGAACUGCAUGUGAAACUGUUAUUCUAGAGUAUGGGAGAGGUAGGUGGAAUUCUUGGUGUAGGGGUCAAAUCCGUAGAGAUCAAGAGGAAUACUCAUUGCGAAGGCGACCUGCUAGAACAUAACUGACGCUGAUGCGCGAAAGCGUGGGGAGCAAACAGGAUUAGAUACCCCAGUAGUC
Molecule: ribosomal RNA, 440 nt
Filed under: uncultured bacterium
Lineage: Bacteria
Description: partial 16S ribosomal RNA
Rfam family: Bacterial small subunit ribosomal RNA
Source: RNAcentral